This 555-nucleotide long non-coding RNA is filed under the name Panax ginseng (ginseng). RNAcentral's name for it is "long non-coding RNA (PGIN_LNC019166)". Lineage: Eukaryota; Viridiplantae; Streptophyta; Magnoliopsida; Apiales; Araliaceae. The record is from RNAcentral.
AUUACCUCUCAAAAGGAUACAUCCACCGAUAUUGCACCGGUCCUCUAAGUUUGAGUUCAUACGGCAGAUGAAUAGGCAGAUGUUCCAUCGAGUCAAAAAAAUUCUGGAGGGAAGAUCAUUUCAAGCUUGCACAUGGUAAGUAAAAUAUUCUUCUCCAUCUGCUCGACAUCACUGUACUUAGUUAUAGUUGAGCAAAUUUCUUGAAAGAAAUUUGACAGUUCAGUCAAUGCAUCCAGAACUUUUCUGGGUAACAUCUCACGAAAUGCAAUUGUAAUCAACUUCUACAUGAAUACAUGACAAUCGUGACUCUUGAAUCCAGAAAUUUUCAAUUGCUCAACCUUACAACAACGUGUUAUGUUCGACGCAUAUCCAUCUAGGAGCUUCAACCCACUAACCCACUUAUAGACAUUUUCAAAUUAUUGCUUAGUAAGACAAAAUGGAGCUUUAGGCUUUGUAGUGUUAGGGCGAAGCCACAAUUCUGGCCUAAUGUUCAAUGCCUCCAAAUCUUUUCGAGCAUUGUCAUUGUCUUUAGUUUUACCACUCGCAUCUAACACG